UCAAUUAUAAGGCCGAAGCUUCGCUUCGCGAAGCGCGGGGGAACCAUUAUUUUGGGGUGAAACCAAGUUUAUUGGCAGGGUCGUUUUCUCUUUAACCCGAAUCCGUCAGCUAACCUCGCAGGCCGUAAAAAGGAGAGAU
RNAcentral lists this small RNA (139 nucleotides) under Paenibacillus sp. Its description in RNAcentral is "c-di-AMP sequence". It matches the Rfam family "c-di-AMP riboswitch aptamer (ydaO/yuaA leader)". Rfam says of the family: This family represents a conserved RNA structure found upstream of the ydaO and yuaA genes in Bacillus subtilis and related genes in other bacteria. The ydaO/yuaA element is thought to act as a genetic "off" switch for the ydaO and yuaA genes in its native state. Lineage: Bacteria; Bacillati; Bacillota; Bacilli; Caryophanales; Paenibacillaceae. The record is from RNAcentral.